This 71-nucleotide transfer RNA is filed under the name Acizzia uncatoides. Its description in RNAcentral is "tRNA-Lys". Lineage: Eukaryota; Metazoa; Arthropoda; Insecta; Hemiptera; Psyllidae. The record is from RNAcentral.
AUUUAGUGACUGAAAAGCAAGUAAUGGUCUCUUAAACCAAUUAAUGGUAAUUAGCAAAUACCCUAAAUAAA